AUUGAACGCUGGCGGCAGGCUUAACACAUGCAAGUCGAGCGGUAACAGAGAGAAGCUUGCUUCUCUGCUGACGAGCGGCGGACGGGUGAGUAAUGCCUAGGAAUCUGCCUAGUAGUGGGGGAUAACUUGCCGAAAGGUAAGCUAAUACCGCAUACGUCCUAUGGGAGGAAGGAGGGGACCUUCGGGCCUUUCGCUAUUAGAUGAGCCUAGGUCGGAUUAGUUAGUUGGUGAGGUAAUGGCUCACCAAGACCGCGAUCCGUAACUGGUCUGAGAGGAUGAUCAGUCACACUGGAACUGAGACACGGUCCAGACUCCUACGGGAGGCAGCAGUGGGGAAUAUUGGACAAUGGGGGGAACCCUGAUCCAGCCAUGCCGCGUGUGUGAAGAAGGUCUUAGGAUUGUAAAGCACUUUAAGUUGGGAGGAAGAGCAGUUAACUAAUAUUUGACUGUUUUGACGUUACCGACAGAAUAAGCACCGGCUAACUUCGUGCCAGCAGCCGCCGUAA
Molecule: ribosomal RNA, 506 nt
Filed under: uncultured bacterium
Lineage: Bacteria
Description: partial 16S ribosomal RNA
Rfam family: Bacterial small subunit ribosomal RNA
Source: RNAcentral